This 3389-nucleotide long non-coding RNA is filed under the name Equus asinus (donkey). RNAcentral's name for it is "lncRNA (ENSEASG00005031170.1)". Lineage: Eukaryota; Metazoa; Chordata; Mammalia; Perissodactyla; Equidae. The record is from RNAcentral.
CUUUGCUCCUCUGAGCCAGGAGGUGGGAUAAGAGGCCCAUCAGGCCUGAAGGCCACUCCUCCAGGCAAAUCUGGGCUGCGACUGGGCUCUCUGAGUAGAUGGUGUGAUAUAAAUAUUUAGGCCCCACUAGCUGUUCACACCCUUCUCAGGGGGGACUCAAGACUUCACAGCUGCAGGGCUGUGAUUGAUGCCAUGCUCCUGACAGCGGCCAAGCAGGGAGUCCUGGAGACUCUUGGCCCUCGGAGCAGAAGGGAAGGGGCAGGGAGAGAGGGAGGAGGGGGAGGGCAGUCUCCGUCACUCACACCCUCAUUUAUCCUGUUCCUUCAGCCCACAGCCCUGCGCCCGGGAGCUGCAGGAGGCACACAGAGUGAUAAGCUGAUUCCUAAGGCGCUCUGUGCAGCUAGCGCGCGGGUGCUCCAGGGAGAAGAGGAUGAGUGGGGAGAGAAUGGGAAGGCAGGGAGGAGAGCAGGGAGCCGGAGGUGAGAGCGAGGAGGGGCCAGGGAGAAUGAAAACCCAGGCUGUUGGUGGUUUCUUCUUUUUUUAAGAGCCACAAGCUGAGAUCAAAGGUGAUAUUUUUGCAGCAACUGAAAUAGAAAACCACUGCGCGCACAGUGGGAGGUGAGCGGCGGGAACACAGGCCCCUUUAUGCAGCCUGUGGCCACAGCAAGCACGCUGCCCUCUGCCGAGUGUCAUGGGGCGUAGGGGACAGUGUGGCCUCCAUCCUCCCAACUUAGGUCCCAGAAAGAAGUGAAGGGGAUGAGCCACAGCUCUCGGUGCUGGGAGAGGAGGAGGCGGGCAGCCAAGGAUCGUAUGAGCACCCCGCGCCUGGCACCUUCCGCCAAGACCACCCUCGCCAUUCUUGCUGGAGGUGUGAGAUUGGAGCCAGGCCCUGGUCAUCCUCACAGAGCCCUGUGAGGAAGGGUCAUUAUCACCCCUGUUUUACGGAGGAGGAAACCAAGGCUGCAAGGGAAAAUGAUUUGGUCAAGUCGCACAGGGAGCAAAUUCAGGACUAGGAUCCCAGGACUCCUGGUCCGACACCCUGUCUGCUCUCUGUGCUCACUCACACACUCACGUGCUGAAUUAUUUAUUGCGCUUCUGCUAUUGCUGGUCCUAGCUGGCCCCGACAUAGCAGGGCCCACACUCAAGUCUACCAGGACACUGGUUCUCAAAGUGUGGUCGCAGGAUCAGCAGCAUCAGCCUCACCUGGGAACAUGCUAGAAAUGCAAAUUCUCAGGCCCCAACCCAGACUUACUGGACCAGAAACUCUGGGAGUAGACCCAGCCCUCCAUAUUUUAAUGACUUCUCCAGGGGAUUCUGAUAUGCACUGAAGUUGAGGGUCACUGUACUGUGUUACCUCAGUUUCCACAGCUGUGCUUCAGGGAAAAUUACAACGCCCAUCCCACAAGGUUGAGGCCAGUAUCAGCUAACACGCGUGCUGGGUGUGUGCCCUGCCUCCUUCUAGGCCCUUUACAGAUAUCAACUAAUUUAAUUUCACAACUCCGGGAGAUAGGAACUAAUAUUGUCCACAUUUCACAAAUGAGGACAUGAAGGCACAGAGAGGUAGAAUAACUCGCCCAGGGUCACACAGCUAGUAAGUGGCAGAGAUCCAAGCUCUUAACAGCUAACCAGCGGAAAGCCCCCAGCAGAGGGUCUGGCUCCCAGAAUGUGUUCCAGGCGUGGCUGAAGAUGUGAUGAUGGCAAUUACUAUUACCUCACCUGAAAUUGAGAUGAUGAUCCCCAUUUUGUAAAUGAGAAAUCGUCCACCUUGUCAAGAUGGAGGAGUGAGUCAGCUGCAAGGGCAGCCUCAGUGUCUGAAAGCCCAGUGCAGGCCACAGGCCCUCACCAUUCAUGCAGCUUCGAGACCACAAUCUAGCAUCUCGGUCUUCUGGAAACAUCCCAGUUUGCUGUAGGGAAGAGCUUGGGCUCCGACAGAGGUGGGCUGGAACCCUAAUUCUGCUACUCAGGGGCUGUGUGACCUUGGACAAGUUGCCUCACCUCUCUGAGCCACCUUUUUCUUCUCUGUAAAGUGAAUGAUGACAGUCCUAACCUUGCAGGUUGCUGUGAGGGUUGGAGAAGAUGACAUUUGUGCCCAGCCCAGAACAUGUACUGAGCUGGCCAUCAGCACGCAGCUUGUCCGUCUCUCCUCCCCCUCCCUGCUGCUACCUCCAUGGAAAGACCAGCUCUGGGCCCAGAAAACAGUUGAAAGAAGAAGAAAUAAGUUCCCAAAUGAUCACAAUGCAUUUAUCCUCCAGCCUCCCUGCCCUUUUCCAGAUCUCCUUGCAAUAGCUGCCUGGGCUGGGGCUUCUGGGGGAACUCUGGCACCUGCUCCAUCCAAGUUGGGAGGUAAGUAAGCUACGAAGGGAAGAGGAGGUGUCCUCUGAGCCACCACCGCCGCCCGGGGGGCCGCCAUCAGCCAAGCCUCUGCACACCCGCCUGCUGCGAGGCAGUCUGGCCUGGACAUCUGAAGCUCGUUAGCGGCCUGCUCCCGGGGGGCUGACCCUGCUUGGCGAGAGUUAUCCCAGACACAGCCGCAGAGGAUGGAGCCAACGAAGACCAGCUGGUCCCUGAGGAACAAGCCUUGACAGCAGGUCCUGGAAGACAGCCUUAGACCGGAUUCUGAAAAGGCCUGGCGUCUCUUCCCGAACAGCAGAGCUUCCGCCCAAACGGAACUGCUUAAGUGCAGGAUACAGUAGGAAAUACUCCCCGCCAGGACUCGGGAGCCUGCACCCAGCCCUGCCUAGUUUGUGGAUCGACUCUGUGUGACCUUGGGCCAAUCCCUGCCCUCUCAGUUUCUUCCACUGUAGAAUGAAGACUUGGACUUGACCAAGUGGUUUCCCCGCAGCCUAUCUCAGUCUUUCGGCUUCUCUUGGGCCAGGGCCGUGCCCUCUCCUCGGCACAAAGAGGUCGUGUGAGCACACAGCAAGAUGGCGGCCCUCUACAAGCCGGGAAGAGGGCUGCCACCGAGAACCAAUCUGCCAGCACCUUGCUCUUGGACCUCCAGCCUCCAGAACUGUCAGAAAUAAAUGUCUGUUGUUCAAGCCACCAGCCUGUGGGACUUUGUUAUAGCAGCCUGAGUGGCUUAGGACACAUCUAUGAAACAGGCAGAAUAACCCCUCCCCUGCCUACUGCUGAUAAGAACAAAAUGCAAUAACAACUAACCAUCCAUUUAGUCACGCAUUCAUUCAACCAAUGUUUAUGAAACACCUUCUGUGUAACAGGCCCUGUUCUAGGAGUGAGCUAAGGAGACAGAAAUCCCCGCCCUCAGGGGGCAGACAUUCUACUUGGAGCAGACAGACAGUAACCAGGUAAAGAAGCAAGCAUACAGCAUGUGGAUGGGUGAUGGUAAGUGCUGUGGAGGAGAAGUCCGCCUGCAGGGAGGACAGAGAGCG